RNAcentral lists this ribosomal RNA (459 nucleotides) under uncultured bacterium. Its description in RNAcentral is "partial 16S ribosomal RNA". It matches the Rfam family "Bacterial small subunit ribosomal RNA", at positions 338 to 795 of the family's 1533-position model. The record is from RNAcentral.
CCUACGGGAGGCAGCAGUGAGGAAUAUUGGUCAAUGGGCGCGAGCCUGAACCAGCCAAGUCGCGUGAGGGAAGACGGUCCUAUGGAUUGUAAACCUCUUUUGUCGGGGAGCAAAAGACGCCACGCGUGGCGUUCCGAGAGUACCCGAAGAAAAAGCAUCGGCUAACUCCGUGCCAGCAGCCGCGGUAAUACGGAGGAUGCGAGCGUUAUCCGGAUUUAUUGGGUUUAAAGGGUGCGCAGGCGGAAGAUCAAGUCAGCGGUAAAAUUGAGAGGCUCAACCUCUUAGAGCCGUUGAAACUGGUGUUCUUGAGUGAGCGAGAGGUAUGCGGAAUGCGUGGUGUAGCGGUGAAAUGCAUAGAUAUCACGCAGAACUCCGAUUGCGAAGGCAGCAUACCGGCGCUCAACUGACGCUCAUGCACGAAAGUGUGGGUAUCGAACAGGAUUAGAUACCCCUGUAGUC